AACGCACCUUGCGCCCUCUGGUAUUCCGGAGGGCAUGCCUGUUUGAGUGUCAUGUAGACUCAACCUCCCCGGUUUAUGAUCGGGACGGGUUGGAUGUGGGCGCUGCCGAUUGCCGGCUCGCCUUAAAUGUCUUAGCGGCUCUGAAUGCCCCGACCUAGCGUAAUAAGUUUCGCUGGCGAGGGUGCGGACGACUGCUUACAACCGCCCUCGGGCAAUACUUUGACUCUGGCCUCAAAUCAGGUAGGACUACCCGCUGAACUUAA
RNAcentral lists this unclassified non-coding RNA (263 nucleotides) under uncultured fungus. Its description in RNAcentral is "partial contains 5.8S ribosomal RNA, internal transcribed spacer 2, and large subunit ribosomal RNA". The stretch from base 1 to 52 matches the Rfam family "5.8S ribosomal RNA", at positions 103 to 154 of the family's 154-position model. The record is from RNAcentral. Lineage: Eukaryota; Fungi.